CCUACGGGUGGCAGCAGUGAGGAAUAUUGGUCAAUGGACGAGAGUCUGAACCAGCCAAGUAGCGUGAAGGAUGACUGCUCUAUGGGUUGUAAACUUCUUUUAUAUGGGAAUAAAAUGUUCCACGUGUGGGCUUUUGUAUGUACCAUAUGAAUAAGGAUCGGCUAACUCCGUGCCAGCAGCCGCGGUAAUACGGAGGAUCCGAGCGUUAUCCGGAUUUAUUGGGUUUAAAGGGAGCGUAGGUGGAUUGUUAAGUCAGUUGUGAAAGUUUGCGGCUCAACCGUAAAAUUGCAGUUGAAACUGGCAGUCUUGAGGACAGUAGAGGUGGGCGGAAUUCGUGGUGUAGCGGGGAAAUGCUUAGAUAUCACGAAGAACUCCGAUUGCGAGGGCAGCUCACUGGACUGCAACUGACACUGAGGCUCGAAAGUGUGGGUAUCAAACGGGAUUAGAUACCCUGUAGUC
Molecule: ribosomal RNA, 459 nt
Filed under: uncultured bacterium
Lineage: Bacteria
Description: partial 16S ribosomal RNA
Rfam family: Bacterial small subunit ribosomal RNA
Source: RNAcentral